GCGGAAGUAGCUCAAUGGCAGAGCAUUGCCCUGCCAAGGCAAAGGUUGAGGGUUCGAUCCCCUUUUUCCGCU
Amborella trichopoda is the source of this 72-nucleotide non-coding RNA. The record is from Rfam. Lineage: Eukaryota; Viridiplantae; Streptophyta; Magnoliopsida; Amborellales; Amborellaceae.